Molecule: ribosomal RNA, 1483 nt
Filed under: uncultured bacterium
Lineage: Bacteria
Description: partial 16S ribosomal RNA
Rfam family: Bacterial small subunit ribosomal RNA
Source: RNAcentral
AGAGUUUGAUCCUGGCUCAGGACGAACGCUGGCGGCGUGCCUAACACAUGCAAGUCGAGCGGAGAUGAUAGCAAUAUCGUCUUAGCGGCGGACGGGUGAGUNNNNNAGCGGCGGACGGGUGAGUAACGCGUGGGUAACCUGCCUUAUACAGGGGGAUAACAUAUUGAAAAGUAUGCUAAUACCGCAUAAGCGCACAAUAUCGCAUGAUAUGGUGUGAAAAGCUGAGACGGUAUAAGAUGGACCCGCGUCUGAUUAGCUAGUAGGUGAGGUAAUGGCUCACCUAGGCGACGAUCAGUAGCCGACCUGAGAGGGUGAUCGGCCACAUUGGGACUGAGACACGGCCCAAACUCCUACGGGAGGCAGCAGUGGGGAAUAUUGCACAAUGGGGGAAACCCUGAUGCAGCGACGCCGCGUGAAGGAUGAAGGUUUUCGGAUCGUAAACUUCUAUCAGCAGGGAAGAAAAUGACGGUACCUGACUAAAGCACCGGCUAACUCCGUGCCAGCAGCCGCGGUAAUACGUAGGUGGCGAGCGUUGUCCGGAAUUACUGGGCGUAAAGGGCGCGUAGGCGGUUCUUUAAGUCAGAUGUGAAAACCCAGGGCUUAACUUUGGGAGUGCAUUUGAAACUGAGGGACUCGAGUGCAGGAGAGGUAAGUGGAAUUCCUAGUGUAGCGGUGAAAUGCGUAGAUAUUAGGAGGAACACCAGUGGCGAAGGCGACUUACUGGACUGUAACUGACGCUGAGGCGCGAAAGCGUGGGGAGCAAACAGGAUUAGAUACCCUGGUAGUCCACGCUGUAAACGAUGGAUACUAGGUGUCGGCUCUUAAAGGGUUCCGUGCCGCAGUUAACACAAUAAGCAUUCCGCCUGGGGAGUACGGCCGCAAGGUUGAAACUCAAAGGAAUUGACGGGGGCCCGCACAAGCGGUGGAGCAUGUGGUUUAAUUCGACGCAACGCGAAGAACCUUACCAGGGCUUGACAUCCCUUUGAGCGGUCCGUAAUGGGACUGCCCUUCGGGGAGCGUAGAGACAGGUGCUGCAUGGUUGUCGUCAGCUCGUGCCGUGAGGUGUCGGCUUAAGUGCCAUAACGAGCGCAACCCUUGUCGUUAGUUGCCAUCAAGUAAUGCUGGGAACUCUAGCGAGACUGCCACCGUAAGGUGUGAGGAAGGGGGGGAUGACGUCAAAUCAGCACGGCCCUUACGUCCGGGGCGACACACGUGUUACAAUGGUAGGUACAGAGGGCCGCUAUCCAGCGAUGGAAUGCGAAUCUCAAAAACCUAUCUCAGUUCGGAUCGGAGUCUGCAACUCGACUCCGUGAAGUUGGAUUCGCUAGUAAUCGCGCAUCAGCCAUGGCGCGGUGAAUACGUUCCCGGGCCUUGUACACACCGCCCGUCAAGCCAUGGAAGCUGGGGGUGCCUGAAGUUCGUGACCGCAAGGAGCGACCUAGGGCAAAACUGGUAACUGGGGCUAAGUCGUAACAAGGUAACC